GACGAACGCUGGCGGCGUGCUUAACACAUGCAAGUCGAACGGAAAGGCCCUGCUUUUGUGGGGUGCUCGAGUGGCGAACGGGUGAGUAACACGUGAGUAACCUGCCCUUGACUUUGGGAUAACUUCAGGAAACUGGGGCUAAUACCGGAUAGGAGCUCCUGCUGCAUGGUGGGGGUUGGAAAGUUUCGGCGGUUGGGGAUGGACUCGCGGCUUAUCAGCUUGUUGGCGGGGUAGUGGCUUACCAAGGCUUUGACGGGUAGCCGGCCUGAGAGGGUGACCGGCCACAUUGGGACUGAGAUACGGCCCAGACUCCUACGGGAGGCAGCAGUGGGGAAUAUUGCACAAUGGGUGGAAGCCUGAUGCAGCAACGCCGCGUGCGGGAUGACGGCCUUCGGGUUGUAAACCGCUUUCGCCUGUGACGAAGCGUGAGUGACGGUAAUGGGUAAAGAAGCACCGGCUAACUACGUG
This 468-nucleotide ribosomal RNA is filed under the name uncultured bacterium. RNAcentral's name for it is "partial 16S ribosomal RNA". It matches the Rfam family "Bacterial small subunit ribosomal RNA", at positions 28 to 507 of the family's 1533-position model. The record is from RNAcentral.